GCCCGACGACAGGGGCGCCGGGGCGAUGAUCCGCCGCGGCUGAGAGGCACCCUCACCACCUGACCCGGAUAAUGCCGGCGGAGGGAGUCGUGCCGGCUCCCUG
The sequence is a non-coding RNA, 103 nucleotides long. It matches the Rfam family "TPP riboswitch aptamer (THI element)". From Rfam's summary of the family: Vitamin B(1) in its active form thiamin pyrophosphate (TPP) is an essential coenzyme that is synthesised by coupling of pyrimidine and thiazole moieties in bacteria. The previously detected thiamin-regulatory element, thi box was extended, resulting in a new, highly conserved RNA secondary structure, the THI element, which is widely distributed in eubacteria and also occurs in some archaea. Analysis of operon structures identified a large number of new candidate thiamin-regulated genes, mostly transporters, in various prokaryotic organisms.